Molecule: ribosomal RNA, 169 nt
Filed under: uncultured bacterium
Lineage: Bacteria
Description: partial 16S ribosomal RNA
Rfam family: Bacterial small subunit ribosomal RNA
Source: RNAcentral
CCUACGGGAGGCAGCAGUGGGGGAUAUUGCACAAUGGGGGGAACCCUGAUGCAGCGACGCCGCGUGAGGGAAGAAGGUUUUCGGAUUGUAAACCUCUGUCCUCAGGGACGAUGAUGACGGUACCUGAGGAGGAAGCCACGGCUAACUACGUGCCAGCAGCCGCGGUAAU